CAUUAAAGAGUUCUAUAACUCCCAAACCCAUGUGAACAUACCAUACGUUGCCUCGGCAGGUCGCGCCUACCCCGUAGCGUCCUACCCUAUAGGACCUACCCGGUAGACGCGGGUAAGCCUGCCGGCGGCCCAAGAAACUCUGUUUAGUAUUGAAUUCUGAACCUAUAACUAAAUAAGUUAAAACUUUCAACAACGGAUCUCUUGGUUCUGGCAUCGAUGAAGAACGCAGCGAAAUGCGAUAAGUAAUGUGAAUUGCAGAAUUCAGUGAAUCAUCGAAUCUUUGAACGCACAUUGCGCCCAUUAGUAUUCUAGUGGGCAUGCCUGUUCGAGCGUCAUUUCAACCCUUAAGCCCUCGUUGCUUAGUGUUGGGAGCCUACGGUACCCGUAGCUCCUCAAAGUUAGUGGCGGAGUCGGUUCACACUCUAGACGUAGUAAUUUUAUCUCGCCUAUCAGUUGGACCGGUCCCCUGCCGUAAAACACCCCAAUUUCUAAAGGUUGACCUCGGAUCAGGUAGGAAUACC
Molecule: ribosomal RNA, 521 nt
Filed under: fungal sp. E15618B
Lineage: Eukaryota; Fungi
Description: eukaryotic LSU rRNA
Rfam family: 5.8S ribosomal RNA (bases 182-335)
Source: RNAcentral